Elaeis guineensis (African oil palm) is the source of this 2254-nucleotide RNA transcript. It is a transcript of the gene named GATA transcription factor 20, with no coding region annotated. The record is from RefSeq and is a predicted model, not a curated record. NCBI's taxonomy places the organism in Eukaryota, Viridiplantae, Streptophyta, Magnoliopsida, Arecales, Arecaceae.
GGGGGGGGUGGGUCUAGACUGGACUAACUCUAUCAAAAGAUUUCCCAGCUAAGGAGAUGUUCCGUAUUUAAAUUUCUAAUGCUAGCAACCACGCAUGGUUCCAGGUCAGAUUCUACGAUUACGAAUGGUGACGUCAUGAUUUCGUGUCAAAACUUAUAUGAGGAUGUCCCUAUAGAUUGCUAAUAUAGUCUUAUGCGGGACAUCAGAUCUGGCGUCCAUGGUUACCCAGAUCUCCACAUGCUCACUUAAAUGAGCGAGAGGAGGACCCUCGCCAAAGUGAUCGGUUUAGAUCAUUGUAUAAAGUCCAUGGACGGGAGAUCUGCUACUACGCGUAUAAAUUUCUAUGCGUCAACCUUAUCUGAGCUAUUUGAUAUUUCCUACAGGUGGGCAAGUAAUUAAGAUCUGGUUUCAGGAAAUGGAACGGUGGAUUAUAUCGACCGCAUACAAAUUUUUAUAAGCACACCUUCGUAUGAUAUUCUCAUGCCCCCCGCCCCCACCCCCCCCGUCUCUCUCUAAUUAUUGGAUUCCCUGAUCGCCGAUUACGGGAACCGAUCGCGCAUCGCCGAAUCUAGGGGUUCUGCAGCUCUUUUUUCUUCAAACCCUAUCCGGAAUCCUUCGAUCGGAUGCGAUUUGGAGAAGGAUUGCUUCGGUCUUUUGAUCUCCAAGGAAUCAGUCCAUCUCCAAAUAUACAAAAAGGUCCACCAAUGGUCCUACUUUUUUGAGUCAGUCUUCUGUCUUUUUGUCGAUUUUUUGUGCAUUUUUUCUACCAUAGUUUCUAAAUUGGGGGAGGCAUCGAGACGGAAGAUAGAGAGAUUUAGGGAUGAGCGAAAACCCUAAUCCACCAGUGGACGUGAAGCCGGCGGCCUGCGGCCGCUUCUCGGGCUACUACAUCCAUAAGCCGGCGGCCGCCCACCAGGUCCUCCCGGUGGUGGCGAUGCCGGUGCAGAUCGACGGUGGCCGUGGGGGCGGCGGAGAGUCGCAUUUAAUCGCCGCCGCCGACACGCAGGCUCUUCAGCGGUACGAGGAGGCGGAGCACCACGGCGGUGGCGUCGGAGGCGGACAUGGGAUGGAGGAGGAUCGGGAUGUGGCCGUGGACGGCGAGGCGAUGGAGGCGGAUGGGGAGGCUGAUCCAGGCAAUCUAGGGGAUCCUCAAGCGGCGAUCGCCCCUCAAGUCGGUGGCAACCAGCUCACACUUUCGUUCCAGGGUGAGGUCUAUGUCUUCGACUCCGUCUCCCCCGAAAAGGUUCAGGCCGUGCUCCUGUUACUUGGGGGGCGUGAGAUGAACACGGCUUUAAAUUCUUUUCCAUCAUCUUCCCAUAUACAUAACAGGCGCAUAAAUUUUCCUCACAGAGUUGCAUCAUUGAUGAGGUUUCGUGAGAAGAGGAAAGAGCGGAACUUUGACAAGAAAAUACGAUACAAUGUUCGCAAAGAGGUUGCCCUAAGAAUGCAACGAAACAAGGGUCAAUUCAUAUCGUCCAAACCGAAGCCUGAAGAUUCAUCAUCUGGCAUUACCAGUUGGGAUACCACCCAACAAUGGGGUUCACCAGAGAAUCGGCCACCAGCAGCAUCAGCAUGCCAUCAUUGUGGCAUUAGUGCAAAAUCUACACCAAUGAUGCGCCGUGGACCUGAGGGACCCAGGACCUUAUGCAAUGCAUGUGGGCUAGUGUGGGCAAAUAAGGAUUCUUCGUCUACAAGGAUUCAGAAGUAUUCUAUGACAUCUUUCUCCUUCUGGAUAGUUUAUGUAGCAGCUGGCAUCUGACAGGUUCUGGAUAAAUUGAUGCUGUUAUAGGGAACAAUGAGGGAUCUUUCGAAAAAUCCACCUUCAGCCAUUCCAAAUGCCUUAACAGAACCAAAAGAAGGGAAUUCUGCUGAAUCAGGAGCUGCACAACCCCUUGUGAUCGCUGCCAAUGGCCAUGACUCAUAAUGGGAGGUCCUGUGCGUUUGGUAUUAGGGCUUCCCGAAGGGAGAGUUGAACAUGUAGUGGGGAACUCGUCCCCGAAUGGUUUCUCAAGAGCGUAGAAUAUUAUCAUACAUGUAUGUACCAUAUUAUUAAAGUAUUAGAUAAAGAUUUUUCUCUUUCUUUUUGGUGAUUUUCGAGACUGCUACCAUUACUGCAAUUUAAUUGUCAUGGGAAGAGCCGCAGUCCCAUGUCUAAUUUAGUCAAACUGAUAUGUGAACCUUCACUGUGUUUAUCUCCAGUUGAAAACUGAUGUACUGAAUCUGUAAUUCCAUUCAUAAACUCCGCGGAUUGCCA